Molecule: long non-coding RNA, 936 nt
Filed under: Homo sapiens (human)
Lineage: Eukaryota; Metazoa; Chordata; Mammalia; Primates; Hominidae
Description: HSALNT0321794
Source: RNAcentral
ACAGGGUCUAGCUAUGUCUCCCAGGUUGAUCUUGAACUCCUGGGCUUAAGGGAUCCUCCGGCGGCGUUGGCCUCCUGAAGUGCUGGGAUUACACACUUGAGCUACCACACCCGGCCCCUAUGUAGAUUUUGAUUCAAGUUUGGAAAAAGGUUUAAAAAACAAGAACAAAAGGCAUUAUGGGAAAAAAAAAUCAUGUAGUGGCAAUAUUCGGAGACUUUAAGGAACACAGUAAAUGAUGACAUGAUCCUCUUUCUAAGAAAUGUAAGUUUAGCUUUCACAGCAGGGAGAGGAACACUUAGCCACUCUGUGAGUUUUGAUACCUUUGACUUCCCAUGGAAGAUCUCUAACUUCUCUAGGGGAAAAUAAAUCAAUAAAAACAAAAACUCUCUUUUGGGGGAAUUGGGAGUUCCAUGGCCUUGAAAAAUAGUAGGUGUUCAUUAAAUAUGUCUUGAAUGAAAGUCACUUCUGAGGCUGAUCUGAGAUGUUCAAAAAUUCUAUGGUGAGCCUAGAAUUUACUUGACUUUUUGUUGUGCUUCACAAGGAACUGGACUAAGUAGGUUUUCCAGGGUUCCUUAGAACCAGGGCUGAAACCAUGCCAGACCAGAUCCACUGGGCCCACAGUCCAGAAGGUGGGGCCCUGGCAUUUUCCUGGAGCAUUCAGCUCUUUGUCAAACACAGGCUUCCAGCCACCCUUAAGCCAUCCAGGGCUCUCAGUCAAAUGCUCUGCCACUGUCUCUUUGGGCACGAGAAUUUCCACAGCUUUUGAUCGCUGGAGAGGAAAACGUUUUUUGGUUUUAGUCUGAAACAAUCCUUAUUUAGGGAUCCUUAUUUAGGCAUAUCUCUCAAAUAUUUGGUUGCAUGCUGUCUUUCUGGGGAGCAAGGCUGCAGCCUUGAGAAUGCCCCUCUCUGAAUGUAGGCUUCUUUACUAAUUAGAAA